RNAcentral lists this long non-coding RNA (1057 nucleotides) under Sus scrofa (pig). RNAcentral describes it as "lncRNA (ENSSSCG00035056911.1)". The record is from RNAcentral. Lineage: Eukaryota; Metazoa; Chordata; Mammalia; Artiodactyla; Suidae.
CAUGUGUUGAAGCCCUAACCUCAGUGCCUCCAAAUGUGGCUGCACUUGGAGAUGGGGUCUUUAAAGAGGUAAUUAAGGUUAAAUGAGGUCAUUGAGGGUGGGGCCUAAUCCAGAGUCAUUAGUGCCCUUAUAAGAAGGGGAGAUGAGAACAGGGCACAGAAGGAGGUUGACUCCCAGUCCAGGAGAGAGGCUUCAGACGGAAGUGGAUCUGCGGGUGCCUUGAUCUUGGACACCCAGCCUCCAACUUUGUAAGAACAUUAGCUUCUGUUGCGUAAGCCCCGGUCCAUGGUAUUUGCCACCUCAGCCCAGGCAGAGUAACGCACUAGCCCUCUGUACCCUGUUUCUUCGGCCAAGUUCAUUGCCCUCCUAAGUGUCUGAUACCCAAGUCUGCUUCCCAGGGGGCCCCACCCAGGCUUCCCCUUAAUCCUUCUCCUUUCUCCCUUGUAAAACAUCGUGGGGGCAGCUGUGCUUUGGAGGUUCUUAAAGUGUAAGAAACUGUCAAUAGCUUAAUCUAUGAUCUGGUCAUGGCAGUGACCCAGCACGGGGGCUGAGAAACAAGUCGUGAACCUCAUCAGUUGUCUGUGAGCAGAAAGUAGAUUGAGGCGGGGGAGCACUGGAGCCCUUCUGUCCUGUCCCCAUCCACCCCAUGGGGUGGCCAUGCCUGGCACCCUACUCCCAGGGCGUGUUUACAACAGCUGCCCCCAUCCCCCAGUGAACACUUGUUCUCCCACAAGCACAUUGAAUUGGCCCUAUGAUUAAGGAGUCCAAGGUCACCUGCUGCUGUGCCCCCCAGGCCACCCUAGCUGUUUCCUGAGCUUGGACUGCCCACCCUAAUUAAAAUUGGGGUCUCUUCUUGCAGUGGGGGACCUGGAGAUGCCUCUGAUGGAGAGGGGGCUUGAGAAUCACUCUGGGCUGGAAUGAACAGGGCUACUCCUCUCCACAAAAAAUGUUCAUUUUUGAAUCUGAAUAUGUCAUCUUGCAAGAGUCCUUGGUCCUUCACAAGUAGACUCCAGUCCUAUUUGUGAAGACCUGCAGUUUUCCUCAAAUCCUCUGCUCU